AGAGUUUGAUCCUGGCUCAGGAUGAACGCUGGCGGCGUGUCUAAGGCAUGCAAGUCUAAUGGUUGCUUGCAACCAUGGCAAACGGGAGAGUAACACUUUGGUAACCUACCUCCGACUCGGGCAUAACCUGGAGAAAUCCGGGAUAAUACCCGAUAGACAUGAGGGGACGUAUGUCAUUCUCAUGUAAAGAUUCGUCGGUCGGAGAGGGGCCUAAGGCCUAUCAGCUUGAUGGUGCGGGUAAAAGCCCACCAUGGCUACGACGGGUAGCGGGUGUGAGAGCAUGACCCGUCUCACUGGGACUGAGACACUGCCCAGACUCCUACGGGAGGCUGCAGUCGAGAAUCUUCCGCAAUGCGCGAAAGCGUGACGGAGCGACGCCGCGUGCAUGAAGACGCCCUUCGGGGUGUAAAAUGCUUUUCUCUGGGAAGAAACAAUGACGGUACCAGAGGAAUAAGGGGCUGCUAACCUCGUGCCAGCAGCAGCGGUAAUACGAGGGCCCCAAGCGUUAUCCGGAUUUAUUGGGCGUAAAGGGUCCGCAGGCUGCUCGACACAUCUCCUGUUAAAUCUAUCGGCCCAACCGGUAGACCGCGGGAGAGAUGGUCGAGCUAGAGGCCGGGAGAGGCGAGCGGAAUUGCCGGUGUAGGGGUUAAAUCCGUUAAUAUCGGCAGGAACACCAAAUGCGAAGGCAGCUCGCUGGAACGCGCCUGACGCUCAGGGACGAAAGCGUGGGUAGCGAAUAGGAUUAGAUACCCUAGUAGUCCACGCUGUAAACGAUGGAUGCAAAGCAUUGGCAGUAUCGACCCUGUCAGUGCUGUCUACCUAAGUAAACACCUUAAGCAUCCCGCCUGGGGAGUACGAGCGCAAGCUUAAAACUCAAAGGAAUAGACGGGGACCCGCACAAGCGGUGGAGCAUGUGGUUUAAUUCGACGCUAAGCGAGGAACCUCACCCAGACUUGACAUCUGGCUGCAGAUCCCGAGAAAUCGGGAAGCCUUCGAGGGUGCCAGACAGGUGCUGCAUGGUUGUCGUCAGCUCGUGUCGUGAGAUGUACCGUUAAGUCGGGAAACGAGCGCAACCCCUAUCUUGCGUUUCAUGUGUCGCAAGAAACUGCCCGCUUUAAGUGGGAGGAAGGUGGGGACGACGUCAAAUCAGCAUGGUCCUUACGUCUGGGGCGACACACGUGCUACAAUGGAGAGUACAGCGGGACGCCAAGCCGCGAGGUGGAGCAAAUCCCUCAAAACUCUUCUAAGUUCGGAUUGGAGUCUGCAACUCGACUCCAUGAAGUCGGAAUCGCUAGUAAACGCGCAUCAACCAUGACGCGUUGAAUACGUUAUCGGGUCUUGUACUCACCGCCCGUCACGUCAAGAGAGCCGGCAAUACCCGAAUCCCGAACUUGUUCGGGAGAAGGUGGGGCUGGUGAUAGGGACGAAGUCGUAACAAGGCA
Molecule: ribosomal RNA, 1442 nt
Filed under: metagenome
Description: bacterial SSU rRNA
Rfam family: Bacterial small subunit ribosomal RNA
Source: RNAcentral